Long non-coding RNA from Suricata suricatta (meerkat), 749 nucleotides. RefSeq lists it as uncharacterized. The transcript has 4 exons. The record is from RefSeq and is a predicted model, not a curated record. NCBI's taxonomy places the organism in Eukaryota, Metazoa, Chordata, Mammalia, Carnivora, Herpestidae.
UCCAGCAAUUGCACUAGUAUCAUGGGAGCCCAAGACUGUUUGUGACCCCUACAGCCAGCACUAAUGAUUAUGAGAUGUACAGAAAGCUAUAAGAAGACAUGCUAAGGAAGAAAAUUCAAAAAAUGAUCAAGUUAUGUUUUGUACUCACUGCAAGUCAACAGAAAUUAUGAAUUACACCGAUGAGUGUGGUCAAAUAUUUGAUGUAAACUUCCUGUAAUACAGGUAACCCAGUAAUGGCGGGAAUGCCGCAAAACCAACUUGCAGAAAGACCUCCACUUCUAUACAUGAGAUACUUGAACACUUUUGGUUUCAAAAUUGAAAAUUACUUAGAUGCUACUUGCCAUACAGAAGAAAUGGAGGCUGAAAAGUUUUAUUGGUUCCAUUUAUUUUGACCGAUUGAGAAUAAAACCAAUGAAUGGUAUGUAAAAGAACUUUGGUUUAAAGGUGACAACAUGGACAUUAUCAACUCACAUGAAGCACAGUGAGACUCACAAAUGACUAGAAGAUUCCACAACCCUUCAGGACAAUACUUGCAAUCCAGAGGACUCGGGAGCAGGACCAUCAAUAGGAUGACCUGCAUGACUUAUACAGCUCUUCAGUGGCACUCAUUUACAUAUGAAUCUGAUAUUCUCACAAAGGCAAAAACAAUCUGGGAGUAAGCGGGGAGUACUUGGAUUGUGUUGAAAAGUAUAAUAAUGCAGAAAUUCUGUAAAUGUUUUCUUAAAGUUAAUUUUGACCAUAGUCUUAAA